This 253-nucleotide ribosomal RNA is filed under the name uncultured bacterium. RNAcentral describes it as "partial 16S ribosomal RNA". It matches the Rfam family "Bacterial small subunit ribosomal RNA", at positions 524 to 776 of the family's 1533-position model. The record is from RNAcentral.
GACAGAGGGUGCAAACGUUGUUCGGAAUUACUGGGCGUAAAGCGCGUUUAGGCGGCCAUGCAAGUCGGAUGUGAAAGCCCUCGGCUCAACCGGGGAAGUGCACUCGAAACUGCAAGGCUAGAGUCUCGGAGAGGAUCGUGGAAUUCUCGGUGUAGAGGUGAAAUUCGUAGAUAUCGAGAGGAACACCGGUGGCGAAGGCGGCGAUCUGGACGAUGACUGACGCUGAGACGCGAAAGCGUGGGGAGCAAACAGG